CGAGCGGGGUCCAACCACUCGCAAGAGUGGGGAAGACCUAGCGGCGAACGGGUGAGUAACACGUGAGGAACCUGCCCCAGAGACCGGGAUAACCCUCCGAAAGGAGAGCUAAUACCGGAUACCCUCAUCGGACCGCAUGAUCUGAUGAGGAAAUGGAUUCCGCUCUGGGAGGGCCUCGCGGCCUAUCAGCUUGUUGGUGAGGUAAUGGCUCACCAAGGCAUCGACGGGUAGCUGGUCUGAGAGGACGAUCAGCCACACUGGGACUGAGACACGGCCCAGACUCCUACGGGAGGCAGCAGUGGGGAAUCUUGCGCAAUGGGCGAAAGCCUGACGCAGCAACGCCGCGUGGGGGAUGAAGGCUUUCGGGUUGUAAACCCCUUUCAGCAGGGACGAUUAUGACGGUACCUGCAGAAGAAGGACCGGCCAACUACGUGCCAGCAGCCGCGGUAAUACGUAGGGUCCAAGCGUUGUCCGGAUUUAUUGGGCGUAAAGAGCUCGUAGGUGGCUCAGUUAGUCGGAUGUGAAAACUCGGGGCUCAACCCCGAGACGCCAUCCGAUACUGCUGUGGCUUGAGUCUGGUAGGGGAGCACGGAAUUCCUGGUGUAGCGGUGAAAUGCGCAGAUAUCAGGAGGAACACCGGUGGCGAAGGCGGUGCUCUGGGCCAGUACUGACA
RNAcentral lists this ribosomal RNA (673 nucleotides) under uncultured bacterium. RNAcentral's name for it is "bacterial SSU rRNA". It matches the Rfam family "Bacterial small subunit ribosomal RNA", at positions 63 to 745 of the family's 1533-position model. The record is from RNAcentral.